Trichomycterus rosablanca is the source of this 568-nucleotide long non-coding RNA. RefSeq lists it as uncharacterized. The transcript is spliced from 4 exons. NCBI's taxonomy places the organism in Eukaryota, Metazoa, Chordata, Actinopteri, Siluriformes, Trichomycteridae. The record is from RefSeq and is a predicted model, not a curated record.
GCCAAUAAAAAUGCAGGACAGUCAAUUUUAGUGGAUCGUAAUGGAUGAACUGGAUAUGACUCGGAUGUUGUGGGCCUAAAUCUGACCUGCAGAGAAUGGAGCUGAGCACUGAGGUUCACCAGCCGCUGAGACACCUCCUAAAACAAACACAAAGUCCAUACAUGCACAGAACAGAACAGAACAGAACUCAGUAAUGACAGGAAACAUCCUCUGCAUUUAUGGACGAGUUUGCACAGACGUCCAUCAGAAACUGCACAGAUGAGUGUUACUGGUUGUUAUGGAACAUGGAUCAUACUCACUUAUCACUAGCGCCCCUGUGUGAUUGUGGUGGCCGUUGGAACUACAGGAUGAAGAGAUUUCCAAACUGGAUCCCAGUAACAGCUCGGUUCCUGGAGUUUUGUGGCAGUGCAACUUCUUGGCCUCCCAUAACCUCAGUAAGAUCAGUGAAAAGUGUGACACGCUCCUGCAGCAGUUCAAGCACCUCCCUGUCCUUCUGCUGGAUAUCAGCUAUGAGAGAGGUCAGAAAGAUAUAAAGCAAUGAAGCAGUGUAUAAAGUGUAGCUGUAACA